UAUUUAUUUGGAAAAUAAAUAAUACGGAAUUCAUCGAGAAUCGAAUAAUUAAAGGAUUAGUGGACUAAAUUGGACGAAAGAAAAGUUAGAAAGUGAAGGUUAAGGAGGUGGCAACUUCAAGGACCUAAGUGGACCUUUAACCCACUUAUUAUCAUCAAUUAUGAAUGAUUAUUCAUUCAUUCAAAGCAAAAUUUGCAGCAAAGGAAGGGAAGAACCCGUAACUCCCUUACCCCAAAAUCAACAAAUCUUUUAAACCCCAUAACUUUCUCAAUUUUGAUCCGAAUUUAGCGAUUCUCGCGGCCACGGAACGAGGAAACGAUUAUCUACAGAUCUAUGGCUUCAGUUUGAGGUGUUUAUUAGCUUCCAUGGACCAAUUUUGAUGAUGAAUCUUGGAGCUAGACUCUUUGGAUUUGAGGCUUCAAUCAAGAUCGGACGAGCGACUAUCAAAAAAGGUUUGAGGCAAACGGAUCGAGAUAUCGUCAUAAUUAUUUGAAGAAUUUGGAUAGCAAGUGGGAUAGUAUGAUAUGAUUUGAAGAGUCAAGCUUCCGAAGUUUUAAUUCUCGGAAGUCAUUUGCACGUGAAGUAAAAGAAGGUUUUCAUUCUAGCGGUCCGCAGUAGUCUAGAUGUUUUUGUCUAUGUAUUUGUAUAACGCAUCUUAACUCUGAUGUUUUUGUAAAAUGGGGUCACAUGUAUUUUGAUAUAUGAAACAUGAUUUGAUUUGCGAAAAAUUUGCACAGGUUUUUAGGCUUGCUACGGGUUUCGGAGCUACCACUCCCAUUCCCUAGCGCCGGUCGCGACUCAUAAAUUUGGGUCGUGACAAAGGUGGUAUCAGAGCAAUGGUUUAGUGUUCCUAGGCCAUUGUUCUUUUGUGAUUGGAGUAUAGGAAAGAGUCAGUUACUUCCUAGGAACUACUGCGGAUUAUAGAGAUUUCCAGUCAUGUCUUUUGAACGUUAUCAUCUUUUUCAUCGAUUUUUCAAACGUUUUACGAAGACGUCCCCUUCUAUAUGUGCUAUUAGGAGUCGAGUUAGAUGUGUGUGCGAGCACAAUAUAUGUUUGUGUUUACUCGAGUAAGCAAUACGCUUUCAAGUAUCUAUAGUCUGCGAAGAGUUAUAUACUCUCGAGACUCAUAUGAUGUAUGAAUAUCGUUAUGGACAGUGAUUGAAUUAUAAAUUGGUUGGAUUGGAUAUUAUACGAGUGAUGUGAUGUAACAAAUAAGAUAUGUAUGUUUGCAGCGCGAUCACUCAGGAGAGUGAUAUGCUCACAGGUAUGUAAGCCUGUGAUAAUUUAUACGAUACAUGAAAUUUAUAUAUUGUAAUCGAUUGUUAUGAAUAGAAAUAGUUUCUUAUGA
Molecule: long non-coding RNA, 1348 nt
Organism: Mercurialis annua (annual mercury)
Lineage: Eukaryota; Viridiplantae; Streptophyta; Magnoliopsida; Malpighiales; Euphorbiaceae
Exons: 4
Source: RefSeq, a predicted model, not a curated record